UAAGGAACUUUGGAUUUGUGGUGAUUUUGGUGCUCACUCUGGACAAAACUGUUUGUAGAUUUGGUCCUGUACAUAUUGUUUUAUCUCCAAAUAAUUUUGAACCUUCACCCCCCCGAAAAAUAGCUACUUUAUAUCUGUAGUGUGCUGUUAAUCACUACAGCUGGCAGCCCACUAAAAAUGUUCAUCUUUAUUUUGUAGGUCAUAUAGAGGGAUUGCUUUUAAUUGCAGUCAGUUUUAUGACCACCCAAGAACUCCUCACAGGAACUUUAAGAAGUUAGAUGAAGGCCACUCAUAAGCAUGACUAAGCAUAUGAUAGAGACAGUGGUCCAUCUUUGAUGCUUUAUUUGAUAAACUAUAGAUAUCAGUUACCAGUUAGAUGUUGUCUGUUUUAUAUUUCAAAGACAUUGAACUUGGAUGUAUUAUAUCCUUUUUAAUCCCACUUGUGAAUGUUAAGAAAUAUCUAUAUCAUUUGCCUGCUAGAGCCAGUGGAUGAGCACCAUCUGCUGGUCUGGUGGAUGUAUUGCAGCUAAGUGUAUGAUUUAAAAACUCAUAUGACUUGAAGUCUUGUCUCUUUGUAAUAUUAGAAAUUACUUAAUCAGUGAAAAAUAUGCGAAAUGUGCAUCCUAUAAAAUUGCGCCUAAAUGAAACAUUGCUAAUUAGUUAAUGUAAUUGUACGAUGAUAUGGUUCCUUGUGAGUCUCCGUAGAUAUGAGACUUUUUUGGUCAAUUCUUUUGAAAUUAAGGUAAACACAGAUCCAUGAGCCUUAUAUGCAUUUUCAGCAAAACUGCAAAAUUCCACCUGAGUAUUUUUAGUCAACAUUAUACACAUUAACACAAUAAUAUCAUAGGUUCAUGUCUCCAAAAUGGACUGACCGAAAAUGCCCCGGCUCAGACUUAAAUGAAAAAAGGUCCCUCUAAAUGUUCCAUUUACUCCUUGCAUGAAUGCUAAAGCAGGUCCACAGUAGAGAAACUUGCUGCUUAAUUAUCAAAAGUGUGCUCUGCGUGCUCCGAGGGGGAGAUUCUGUGGACAUGAUGGGACUGACCUUGUUGCUUUCAGCCCAUUCAAACUGCUGCCGUGCUUCACUGGUGGAUGUCACAGUGUCACCCACGGGGACGAGGGAGAGGGAGCAGAGAGAGAGCCCGAGAGAUUGUCUGUGCACAUUCCUACACUGGUUGCUACUUACAAGGUCUGCAUUAACACACAUACAAUACACCCCCCUUAUGAAGCACACACACACACACACACACAUACAGCAAGUCACAGCAUCUUCACGUAGAUCCCUGGCAAAGCCAAAGCGAUGCAACUGCUCCUCCAUUGUAAGACCCCCUUAACUCCCUCCCUUCUUCUUGCACUCUUUCUCCUUACCCUCCACCCACCUACCAGUCUCUACCCCAAACCCUGCUAGCUGGCCCCGCUCUUUUCUCCUAGUCACCAUGGAGACCGCUAACAAAGCCAUCACUUUUACCAAUUUCCUCAGAGACAGGUGCUGGCACAAUGACUGCUUCCUCGCAGGCUGAAAGGGGAAGGGGCAAGAGGGGUCCAUGGGAACUCCAGGCGGACACUCUGAGGGCUGUCCAAGUGUCCUCCUCCCUGGGCCCUACCGAGAAAAGAAGGCUAAUUUGUUGUCCCUGUUUUCCCAGGGAGGGGGGAUGCAGGAGGAAGGAGGAGGGGGGAGAAAGAGAGAGGGAGGCUGGAGGCUCGAAGAAGGGCGAGUGAGGCACGAAGAAUGACGCAGAGAGAGAGAGACAGAGACACACACACACAGACAGAGAGAGAGAGACAGAGAGGGUGUAGGCAAAGGGGUGUUGACGAGUUUUCAAAACAGACCGCCUAAUAUCAGUCUCCUCUCGCUUCCUCCUGCCAAUGGGUGGCUGGAUCCUCCUUUUCUCUCCUUGUUCUCCCAUCUUCUCUUGCUUCCCCCUUUCUCCUGCUACAACUCUUUGGGCCUCGAAACAAUGGCGUGUCAUGGCAUCAUGACUGCAAGAUGUUUCAAUUUAGCUUUCAGCCAGCAUUCACUUCCCUUUUUUGUAUGUGCUCUUUGUGUGUGUGCCAGUUCAAAUGUGCUCAUAUCUAUAAAAAACAAAUUCCUACAAGGGUGUUAGUAGGUUUCUGGGAGAUUUAAUGUACCUUUAUUAUUUAUUUAUAUAUUUAUUGGAUGUAGUGUCUGUUACUGUAAAAUAAACACUAUAACAUCACUAAUGUUUAAGAUGCUGCAAAAGAAACACCCCUGUCUACAUAAAGAAAAAGAUAAAAAUGAGACUAAAAUGUGUUGUUAUGCAAAAAAAAAAAAUAUAUAUAUAUUUUUUUUUAUUAUUUUAUUUGAUUAAAUUUUUUAUAUUUUUAAUUACUGUUUACUGGUUUCUGUUACAGCUGCACUGUCACCCUGAAAAAGAGUCUGUCUGUUGGCACAGCUACAAAGUAUUUAUUGCCCCUCUAUGAAGAGAGGCCAUGGGGAGUGUGAGGGAGGGGUGUGUGUGUGUGUGUGUGUGUGUGUGUGUGUGUGUGUGUGUGUGUGUGUGUGUGUGUGUGUGUGUGUGCUUGCUCAUGAAAUUGUGUGUGUUUGUGCAUGUUGUUUGAAAAGGCCUUACAACUUUUUGUUGGAGGUACAAAACUUAUUGGGAUGGCAUGUAUAAACACUUACCUUCUGGGAGAGACAUGUUAUUCAGCUGCAGAAGACCCUAGUGUCUGUUUAUAGUAGAUCUGCAAUAACAUACAGAUGGACUGGUCCAGGUUUACAUUGACUUAAUAUAGUGAAGUUAUUAUUUUGAUUGAUAUGUUUAGAUAUAUAUGUAUAAAUAAUACAUGAUUUGAUUAUAGAUUUCUUAUAAGGUUGUUGAGAAAAUAAGAUGGCUUAAAAACUUUGUGAACAAUAACAGCUACAAUGUUUGCAAUGGAUUAAAAAUUUCGAAUGUAACAAGUUUCAGUUAAAACACGACAAUAUGACUAAAAGACAGAGGACACUUGUCUGUCUUACCUACAAUAUAUUGGCAGAGUGACUUUAAAUUUGACAUGUGUUUCAAGAUGGGGUCUGACCUCUGUUUUAUAACAGCUGUUACUUCUCUAGUAGGGCUUUCCACAGGAUUAAGGAGUGUGUCUGUAGAAAAUGAUGUCCUAUUCAGCCAAGUUCCUCAGCAAGACCCUGGAAAGAGUAGUCGCCGUGCAGCUCCAGCAGCACAUGUCCGACCACAAACUCUCCGAACCCUUCCAGUCUGCCUACAGAGCGCACCACAGCACUGAGACCGCCUUGGUUAAAAUCAUCAAUGACCUCCUCAUCGCGGCUGACUCCGGCAACAUCAGCAUCCUCAUCCUGUUGUACCUCUCUGCAGCCUUUGACACAGUCUCUCACUCCAUCCUCCUCAACCGCCUCUCUACACACCUCAAUAUCACUGGAUCUGCGCUCUCCUGGUUUCACUCCUAUCUGUCCAACCGCCUGCAGUUUGUCUCCAUGCAUGGUUCCAAGUCCCACCCAGCCCCAGUUCCACACGGAGUCCCACAGGGUUCCGUACUUGGUCCACUCCUCUUCACCAUAUACAUGCUCCCGCUCGGCCAGAUCAUCCGUAAGCACGGCCUUGAUUUCCACUGUUACGCCGAUGACACACAGAUAUAUCUCAGCACCACACCCACUACUCUGCUCCCUCCACUCCCCAUUGUCAACUGCCUACAAGAAAUAAAAACCUGGCUGACCACCAACCUACUCCAACUCAACGCCAAGAAAACAGAGCUCUUGCUCAUGGCUCCCAAGGCACUGCUUCGCAGAAUGGGUGAUUUCCUCCUCCAUAUUGACGGCUACUCCAUCUCCCCAUCCUCCGAGGUGCGCAACCUGGGCGUCAUCUUGGACUCUGCCCUCUCAUUCCAAACCCACAUUAAAUCCGUAACUAAGUCAGCCUUUUUCCACCUUAAGACCAUCUCCAGACUCCGCUCAUCCCUCUCAGACCCUGUUGCAGAAACCCUCAUCCAUGCCUUUGUAUCCUCCCGCUUAGACUACUGCAACGGUGUCCUGUUCGGACUUCCUAAAAAAGACUUGGACCGUCUGCAGUACGUUCAAAAUUCAGCUGCCAGAGUGCUCACCCAGACCAAACCUUGGCAGCACAUCACCCCCACCCUCAAACGCCUCCACUGGCUUCCCAUCAAAUAUCGCAUCAUCUACAAACUCCUCCUGCUCACCUACAAAGCUCUCCAUGCCCUAGCCCCAUACUAUCUCUCUGACCUCCUCAAGGACUACAUCCCGGCGCGUACUCUGCGGUCUGCAGACCUUGGGCUCCUCACUGUCCGCUAUGGGAAAAGGCGAUCCCUUGGUGACAGAGCCUUCAGUGUGGCUGCCCCUCCUCUCUGGAACUCUCUCCCCUCUGAGAUUCGCCAAGCACAGACUCUUGACUCUUUCAAGUCUGCUCUGAAGCGACACUUGUUUAUCCAGGCUUUUGGUAUUUAGUUUUUGUAAUGUGUUGUUAAGCGCCUUGGGUAUCCUGAAAGGCGCUAUAUAAAUGUAAGAUAUUAUUAUUAUUAUUAAGGGAUCAGUUCUGAGGUCAGGCACCUACUUCAGAUGAGCCAGACUGGCCCACAAUCAGUGUUUUAUACUUAUAAAGACGUUAAGUGGGGUUCAGGGCUUUUUAGACAGUUGCUCUUCCAUACAAAUCUCAUCUAACUAGGUUUCGUGGUGGUGGGUUUGACUCAGCUUUUUUAACGAAACAUGACCAUUGAAACCAAAGAACCAAACUGUUUGGAUCCAAACAAUUUAUUUUUUGGAGCAUCUCCAAGACAAGUAAUCAAAAGUUUUCCAGUGUUCAGAAAGCCAGCACCAGUGCAGACUCAUUCCAUGAUUGAACAAGCAUUUGUAGCUCUUUUGGAGCAUUUUGAGGUUCAGUGUUUUUCCAAGAAUAUCAGACAUGUUGAGUGCACAAGCCACAAACUGCCAUCUUUUUGACUGGGAGAUGACCAUUGAUCUGCAGCCACCAAUGGUCAGCUUGCUGACAACAGUCUCUUAAGCUAAUUGUGUUAAAGCAACUUGUUCUCUGGUGUUAAGCGUGCUUCCCUUGAACUAAUAAACUAAAAACAACAACAGCUAAUGACCAUAGUUUAAAAAAAAAGAUUGUAGGACCAAGAGCUGUAGCCACUAUCCUAGAAAAAUAAAUAGUUUAACCAACAUUACGGGUAUUCCAAAACCUGCAAUGCACAUUUGCAUUCCAUUAGGAUUUUUUUUCUUUCCUGAUUCUCUUGAGUAUAAAUAAACCAAUCAGUGUAAAACUAGAAGCUUUUAUAUGUCCCAUUACCUGCAUUGGGACUCUUACUAAAUGAAAUUUUCAAUACAAUCAGUUACAGUGUCUCACCUUGAAUCUAUCCCUAGAGGGCGCCAAAGUUUCAAGUACACACACUGUGACAUUAGAAAGUCCUCCAUUCCUGUAGUCAUUAAGGUACAAAGAGUGCCUUGAAAAAGUAUUCAUACCCCUUGAACUUUUUCACAUUUUGUCGCUCUACAACCACAAACUUAAAAGCAUUUUUUUGAGAUUUUUUGUCAUAGACCAAGACAAAGUAGCACAUAAUUGUGAAGUGGAACGAAAAUGAUACAUGGUUUUCAAAAAAUGUUAAACAAGUAAAAGUCUGAAAAGUGUGGUGUGCAUUUGUAUUCAGUUGUAUUUAUGCUGAUACUAAAUUACACACAGGUGGACUCUAUUAACUAAUUAGGUGACUUCUGAAGGCAGCUGAUUACACUGCAUUUUAUUUUUAGGGGUAUCAGAGUACAGGGGACUGAAUACAAAUGCACACCACACUUUUCAGAUUUUUAUUUGUUUAUUAUUUUUUUAAACCAUAUAUCAUUUUCAUUCCACUUCAUAAUUAUGUGUUACUUUGUGUUGGUCUAUGACAAAAAAUUUCAAUAAAAUACUUUUAAGUUUGUGGUUGUAGAGUGGCAAAAUGUGAAAAAGUUAAAGGGGUAUGAGUACUUUUUCAAGGCACUGUAUAUUUAGAGGAAUUUUGCAUUAAGGAACAAACCCUUGAUCAGAAAUUUUCUGCUUUAGAUAAGAUUUAAGUCUCUUCCUCUACGUCACACCAGUGCCCUUUCAUAAAAUGAGUUAUAAAUAAAUAUAUAGCGUCAUAAUGAUAAACUUCCACUAUGCCAUUCCAACUUCCUACAGCUACUUUAGCAGAGGGUCGUGAAGUGUACUACUUGGUUGCCAUUACACAUCAGCUGACCUGCAGGAAGUUCCCCAGCUGUUAGGGAGAUCCUUGUGUAUCACGCUGAGAUCUAUCUUUAGUAUCUUCUGCUUCCCCUCCUGUGACGUAGGAGGGGAGAAACUUCUCACUCAGGGGUGACUCAGGGCCAAACAGUGAGUUAAUGAGUGAAACAUGAGCCACAAGUUUUAGUAGGGUGUAGCAAAAGUUGGUCAUUUUCCAUGGCUUUUUGUAACAGUAGUGCACUGAAGUGAAAUUAAUGGAGAUUGACAGUUAAAAAACACACAACUGCUAAAUAAAGAGGAUGUAAGAGGUACAAAGUUAAUGCUAAAUAUGAAGAAAAAGAUGGAAUGAUUCAAAUGAACUAAAUCUAUCAGGACAAAAAUAGAUUCUUAACACUGAGAUGAUGUUUUGGGUUACCUGGAGUCCUAAAGCAGGCAGAGUGUUGUGGUCAGACACUAAAAAUAUCAUGGGUAUGUUACUUCCACUUUUUCCAUUGCCUGGUUUACAUCCUGUUGCUGGGAGGCCAGUUUGUUUACAGAGUUGUGUCAUAUUAUAAUAUGCCUGUGGUGCAAAUGAUCAUGUGUCGUAGCCGGUUGAGCUGUCUCUUACCAGAAGGCGUUGAUCUGUGGGCGUGUGAGGGAUGAAGGAGGCGUCACAAGGAAUUAUUGACCCCAUGGAAAAUUGUCAUAUUGUGUCCCAUCACUGCAGCACAACUACUAUAAUCAAACAUUCAUCAUACUCAUGACCCAUUACAAGUUUCAAAGAACUUUACUUUAACUUCAUGCAACACACCAGCAAAAUUAAAAGCAUAAUACUUCUCAGUAACAUCCAGAGCAUCAUAUUGUUUCACAAAAAAGUGUAUGCUAAACUUGUCACAAACUCACAAAAGUCUUUCAGGAUAUGUGAACACUGAAUGUACUGUGUGUUAGAAUACUUUUAAAAAUAAAAAUUACAGAAAAAUAAAACAACGAGAAAAUCACUUAGGUUACUUUAUGAAAAAAAAUCAUCCAAAAAGUUAUUGCCUGAGCAGUAAUUUGGAGACAUCUCCUUCUCUGAAAGCUUUGUGAUUCCAUCCUUUUCCUCAACACUAGAAUAUUCUGUUGCUUGGCCAACAGCAACAUCUGGUCUUCACAAACAAAUAUAGCCUAUAAAUGCAUCCUUGUACAACAAAAGCCUUUAAAUUAAAAAAAAAAUGCAGUUUCCCUCAUGGACACAAAAUCUUGAUAUUGUCCACCAGAUGUCAGCAGAACCCAAACAAUGAAAAAACUUCCAGCACACAGUGAACAUAGUUAACCCCAAUGUGUUACCCAAGACUCACCAACAGAGUGAAUCAUUUAUGUCAACUUGUCUCUUCUUGAGUUUAACAUUCAGGGUUGUUAUGUAACAAAUUGUAGGUGUUUGAAUGGGAAGUCACCUCUAUCAUUAAAAGUUUUAUGUGGUUUAAAAAUACAUUUCACAUUGAAAGGCUCAAUAUGCUCCCUUGUUAAGCCUGUGUUGUACUUAAUUUUUGGUGUCUGCACCCUGACAAAGUUUCUACAGGGAAUCAGUAUUAAAAUGGACUCGGUGUGAAAGGAUUUUUAUGAAAAUUUAGUCAUCUUAUUGGGACAAUACAUGGUGAAAAACAGACAAAGUUUCCUAAUAUUAAUCCAUUGACAACUUUAAUGAUGGAAGAGGCGGUAUCAUUAAAAUCAGAGCCAUGACUUUGUGUCUGUCCAUGACUUAAUUGUGCUCUUGUGAAGUCUGAUGUAAAUCAAAAGCUUUAAAAUGCCGCAGAGGAAGACCCAGAGGAAACUAACACUCACAGUGCGUCUGCUUUGUCUACAAAGGAAACGCUCCGGGCUUCCUCUCUCCAUCAUUAGCAUGGUGUCUCCCCCUGGUCUCAGAAUAAAUACUUUUAAUCCUUUAGAGGGAAGUACUGUGCAAGUUUCUUCUCUCGCUGCGUGAGUGUCUUCUGUGAGUGCAGCUGUGCAGUUUGACAGCAGCCAUCCCUCUGCAGCCUCCUUGUCCCUUUUCUUCCUCUAUUAAACGGCACAAUUAGCUAGUUUAUAUGCUUCCACAAUACAGACAGUGAAGCAACUGUGAAGGGAAUCCAUAUAAGUUUACUACAAUGUUGCAUUUGUUUUUAACAAUACUUAAGAGUGCAACUCUGUGGACUGGCUGACAACCUCUUCUCCUCUGCAGCUCUCAUAUUUGUUGUCCUCAUUCCAGAGUCAAACAGAUGUGACCAGCUGAACCCAUCUACUGUAAGGUGCUGCUGGUUAACUGGCACGUGACUAGUUUCUGUCUCAUUAUUUUCUUUUUUAUCUCCAUGUCUUUAAUGAGAGUAUAAUGGUUGUUUGUGCUGCAACUGGCCUACAUACACAGCCUGCAUUUUAAAUGCAUUCAUUCAUCACUCUCGGGAAACUGAAUCUAACCAUGUAUCUGCAGGGAGUUAAUAUAUUUUUUAUUUUUUAUUCAGCUGUGUUAAACACUCAAUUCUGAUGAGUGAAAACUCCAGCAACAAUAAUUAAUUAUUGACAGCAAAAGAUAUGUCAGGACAACCUGAUCACUUUGCAUGACCACCCAUUACACCAUCCCAUUACUUGUUCUCCCCCCUGUCUUAAAGGUUUCUAUGUGCUGUUAGUACAGCGGGCCUGCUUGUGGACCUGCAUGUUUACAAUGAUUAGAAGUCUCACUUGUUAAUAAAAUCAUACUCUUAAUGCUAGAGCUGAUUGACUCAAACUUGAAUAGUUUUCAUUAUUAGUCUUCAACAAGCUAUCUAUAUCAUAGCUGACAAUACUAAGGCCGAACUUUAAGUGGCAGAGUCAAUAUUAUCAGACAUUGUUAGGUAACUUCUUUCUAUUUAUCUGCUUUUUCUGCAUUUCUCCCUGUCCUUCUUUCUCUGUCCAUCCACAAGCAGUUGAAUAAUGUAUUCGAUCUUUUGUAAAUGACUGCGAUUAUAAGAUAUAUAAGGUCUACAUCUUCACUCUUGAGGUCUUUCAUGAAUUGCAUUGAAAUGAAAACCUCAUAGAAUUGUGUCAAGCAGGUUGAGAGUAUAAUACAGCAAACACUAAGUGGAGAUUUUAUCAAUAUAUUGUUCAUGGUUGUGAAAAAAAAGCCAGAGUCUGCUCUAAUGUUUUCAUAAGGACAUAAGAUCCCCCUCUGUCAGCUGCAUGUUCUCUCCUUAUUCAGCUUUAGAGUUACACUUGGGUGAACAUUAGGGCUAAAAGCAGAGCAGUUUACUUUUUUCCCACUGUGCCAUUACUGUGAUAACUUCUCUCUCUCUUAUUGCUCUGACCCUGCUGAGUGAUUCAUAGACGCAGACAGUACAAAGCCAAAAUAGCAGCAAUCAGUGAGAAGGUUAUCUUGCUAUUG
RNAcentral lists this long non-coding RNA (9522 nucleotides) under Xyrichtys novacula (pearly razorfish). Lineage: Eukaryota; Metazoa; Chordata; Actinopteri; Labriformes; Labridae. The record is from RNAcentral.